This is a non-coding RNA of Aedes albopictus (Asian tiger mosquito), 74 nucleotides long. Lineage: Eukaryota; Metazoa; Arthropoda; Insecta; Diptera; Culicidae. The record is from Rfam.
UGUUCUGUGGCUUAGCUGCUUAAGGCGCUGGUCUAGCGAAUACGGAGUCGUGAGUUCAAUUCCCACCAGAAUGA